UACGAAGGGGGCUAGCGUUGUUCGGAAUUACUGGGCGUAAAGCGCGCGCAGGCGGCCAGCCAAGUCAGGGGUGAAAGCCCGGAGCUCAACUCCGGAAAUGCCUCUGAAACUGUCUGGCUUGAGUACGGAAGAGGUGAGUGGAAUUCCCAGUGUAGAGGUGAAAUUCGUAGAUAUUGGGAAGAACACCGGUGGCGAAGGCGGCUCACUGGUCCGUUACUGACGCUCAGGCGCGACGGCGUGGGGAUCAAACAGG
This 253-nucleotide ribosomal RNA is filed under the name uncultured bacterium. RNAcentral's name for it is "partial 16S ribosomal RNA". It matches the Rfam family "Bacterial small subunit ribosomal RNA", at positions 524 to 776 of the family's 1533-position model. The record is from RNAcentral.